This is a long non-coding RNA of Vigna angularis (adzuki bean), 557 nucleotides long. RefSeq lists it as uncharacterized. Lineage: Eukaryota; Viridiplantae; Streptophyta; Magnoliopsida; Fabales; Fabaceae. The transcript is spliced from 2 exons. The record is from RefSeq and is a predicted model, not a curated record.
ACAAUUGCUACAAUUUUAAAAAAAAAAUUUAAAAAAAUAUAUAUGCAACAAAAAACUAAAAAUAAUUAUUAUGAAUACGGGGUUCUGUUCGUAUGGUGCCGGAGUCUAUAGUGGUAUUCCGAAGCGGUGUUAGCUUAGGGUUUGCACAGUUACACUGCGUUUCAUUACGUUUAUUUUUAGUGGGUUUUCAAUUGGAGAUUAUGGAUCAGAAAGCUGGGGAUAGCAGCACUGUGAAGAAAAUAAAUUCAGCUUGUGAUGUUGAGGCUUUAAAAAAGUGUUUGGAAGAGAACAAGGGAGAUUAUGUCAAAUGUCAGACACAGAUUGAGGCUUUCAAGUCAUCAUGCUCACUCAAAAAACCAAACCCCUCUCUUGAUUCUGCUUCACGUUAGAUCAAGUUAGAUGGUUCUGAUUCUUGAGUUGAUUUGUGGGUGUACUGUGUUAUGGUAAAGGGAUGAUUAUGAACUGAACUUUAUGUCUUUCCCGAUGAUAUUCCUCAGUUGUAUCAAUAUUUAAUAAUAAUAAUUGUGAUAGAAUAAUUUGAUUAUUAGUUUCAUGAA